GAACCGUACAAACGUUAUUCGGAAUCACUGGGCUUAAAGGGUGCGUAGGCGGUCCGGCAAGUUGGGUGUGAAAUCCCUCGGCUCAACCGAGGAAUGGCGCUCAAAACUGCCGGACUUGAGGGAGACAGAGGUGAGCGGAACUUGCGGUGGAGCGGUGAAAUGCGUUGAUAUCGCAAGAAACACCAGUAGCGAAAGCGGCUCACUGGGUCUCUUCUGACGCUGAGGCACGAAAGCUAGGGGAGCGAACGGGGGAUUAGAUACCCCGGUAGUCCUAGCUGUAAACGAUGAGCACUGGGUUGGAGGCUCCUCCAUAGGCUUCCUGCCGUAGCGAAAGUGUUAAGUGCUCCGCCUGGGGAGUAUGGUCGCAAGGCUG
Molecule: ribosomal RNA, 373 nt
Filed under: uncultured organism
Description: partial 16S ribosomal RNA
Rfam family: Bacterial small subunit ribosomal RNA
Source: RNAcentral